CGAGGCACUACGGUGCUGAAGUGAUAAAUGCCCUGCUUCCAGGAAAAGCCUCUAAGCAUCAGGUAACACGAAAUCGUACCCCAAACCGACACAGGUGGUCAGGUAGAGAAUACCAAGGCGCUUGAGAGAACUCGGGUGAAGGAACUAGGCAAAAUGGUGCCGUAACUUCGGGAGAAGGCACGCUGAUAUGUAGGUGAAGUCCCUGCGGACGGAGCUGAAAUCAGUCGAAGAUACCAGCUGGCUGCAACUGUUUAUUAAAAACACAGCACUGUGCAAACACGAAAGUGGACGUAUACGGUGUGACGCCUGCCCGGUGCCGGAAGGUUAAUUGAUGGGGUUAGCGGCAACGCGAAGCUCUUGAUCGAAGCCCCGGUAAACGGCGGCCGUAACUAUAACGGUCCUAAGGUAGCGAAAUUCCUUGUCGGGUAAGUUCCGACCUGCACGAAUGGCGUAAUGAUGGCCAGGCUGUCUCCACCCGAGACUCAGUGAAAUUGAACUCGCUGUGAAGAUGCAGUGUACCCGCGGCAAGACGGAAAGACCCCGUGAACCUUUACUAUAGCUUGACACUGAACACUGGUCCUUGAUGUGUAGGAUAGGUGGGAGGCUUUGAAGCGUGGACGCCAGUCUGCGUGGAGCCAACCUUGAAAUACCACCCUUUAAUGGCUGGUGUUCUAACGUAGACCCGUAAUCCGGGUUGCGGACAGUGUCUGGUGGGUAGUUUGACUGGGGCGGUCUCCUCCCAAAGAGUAACGGAGGAGCACGAAGGUUGGCUAAUCCUGGUCGGACAUCAGGAGGUUAGUGCAAUGGCAUAAGCCAGCUUGACUGCGAGCGUGACGGCGCGAGCAGGUGCGAAAGCAGGUCAUAGUGAUCCGGUGGUUCUGAAUGGAAGGGCCAUCGCUCAACGGAUAAAAGGUACUCCGGGGAUAACAGGCUGAUACCGCCCAAGAGUUCAUAUCGACGGCGGUGUUUGGCACCUCGAUGUCGGCUCAUCACAUCCUGGGGCUGAAGUAGGUCCCAAGGGUAUGGCUGUUCGCCAUUUAAAGUGGUACGCGAGCUGGGUUUAGAACGUCGUGAGACAGUUCGGUCCCUAUCUGCCGUGGGCGCUGGAGAAUUGAGGGGGGCUGCUCCUAGUACGAGAGGACCGGAGUGGACGCAUCACUGGUGUUCGGGUUGUCAUGCCAAUGGCACUGCCCGGUAGCUAAAUGCGGAAGAGAUAAGUGCUGAAAGCAUCUAAGCACGAAACUUGCCCCGAGAUGAGUUCUCCCUGAGACUUUAAGUCUCCUGAAGGAACGUUGAAGACUACGACGUUGAUAGGUCGGGUGUGUAAGCGCAGCGAUGCGUUGAGCUAACCGAUACUAAUGAACCGUGAGGCUUAACCUU
Molecule: ribosomal RNA, 1380 nt
Filed under: Enterobacter hormaechei
Lineage: Bacteria; Pseudomonadati; Pseudomonadota; Gammaproteobacteria; Enterobacterales; Enterobacteriaceae
Description: bacterial LSU rRNA
Rfam family: Bacterial large subunit ribosomal RNA
Source: RNAcentral